UGGGGCAAUGGGAUCCCAGUAACAUGGGACAAUGGGAUCCCAGUAAUGGGGCAAUGGGAUCCCAGUAACAUGGGACAAUGGGAUCCCAGUAAUGGAGCAAUGGGAUCCCAGUAAAAUGGGACAAGGGGAUCCCAGUAAUGUGGGGCACUGGGCUCUGUAUGGGAAAUUGAUACUGGGACCCCAGUGCCAUCCCAUACUGGGACCCCGGUGCCGUGGGGCAGCGGGAAAUGGGAGAGCGGCUCCGAAAGGCGUCAAUAAACGGAGGUGGACGCUGUGGGUCCGGUGCGGUUUGGCCGUGGGGCGCGUGGGGACACUGGGGACAUGGGGUCGUGGUGGGUCUCCAACUGUUGACUGGGGACAUUGGGGACACUGGGGACAUUGAGGGCAUUGGGGACAUUGGGGACACUGGGGACAUGGGGUCGUGGUGGGUCUCCAACUGUUGACUGGGGACAUUGGGGACACUGGGGACAUGGGGUCAUGGUGGGUCUCCAUCCAUUGUGUUGGGGACACUGGGACACUGGGGAC
RNAcentral lists this long non-coding RNA (525 nucleotides) under Numida meleagris (helmeted guineafowl). RNAcentral's name for it is "lncRNA (ENSNMEG00000002109.1)". The record is from RNAcentral. Lineage: Eukaryota; Metazoa; Chordata; Aves; Galliformes; Numididae.